RNAcentral lists this ribosomal RNA (253 nucleotides) under uncultured bacterium. Its description in RNAcentral is "partial 16S ribosomal RNA". It matches the Rfam family "Bacterial small subunit ribosomal RNA", at positions 524 to 776 of the family's 1533-position model. The record is from RNAcentral.
UACGUAGGGUGCAAGCGUUGUCCGGAAUUAUUGGGCGUAAAGAGCUUGUAGGCGGUUUGUCGCGUCUGCUGUGAAAUUUCGGGGCUCAACCCCGAACUUGCAGUGGGUACGGGCAGACUAGAGUGUGGUAGGGGAGACUGGAAUUCCUGGUGUAGCGGUGAAAUGCGUAGAUAUCAAGAGGAACACCAGUGGCGAAGGCGAGUCCCUGGACAACACCUGACACUGAGGCACGAAAGCUAGGGGAGCAAACAGG